This 466-nucleotide ribosomal RNA is filed under the name uncultured bacterium. RNAcentral's name for it is "partial 16S ribosomal RNA". It matches the Rfam family "Bacterial small subunit ribosomal RNA", at positions 28 to 507 of the family's 1533-position model. The record is from RNAcentral.
GACGAACGCUGGCGGCGCGCCUAACACAUGCAAGUCGAACGAGCGAGAGAGAGCUUGCUUUCUCGAGCGAGUGGCGAACGGGUGAGUAACGCGUGAGGAACCUGCCUCAAAGAGGGGGACAACAGUUGGAAACGACUGCUAAUACCGCAUAAGCCCACGGCUCGGCAUCGAGCAGGGGGAAAAGGAGCAAUCCGCUUUGAGAUGGCCUCGCGUCCGAUUAGCUAGUUGGUGGGGUAACGGCCCACCAAGGCGACGAUCGGUAGCCGGACUGAGAGGUUGAACGGCCACAGUGGGACUGAGACACGGCCCAGACUCCUACGGGAGGCAGCAGUGGGGAAUAUUGCACAAUGGGGGAAACCCUGAUGCAGCGACGCCGCGUGGAGGAAGAAGGUCUUCGGAUUGUAAACUCCUGUUGUUGGGGAAGAUAAUGACGGUACCCAACAAGGAAGAGACGGCUAACUACGUG